UGAUCCUGCCAGUAGUCAUAUGCUUGUCUCAAAGAUUAAGCCAUGCAUGUGUAAGUGCAAGCCGAACUAAGGCGAAACCGCGAAAGGCUCAUUACAUCAGUUGUGGUUCCUUGGACUGUACCCAGUUACUUGGAUAACUGCGGAAAAUCUGGAGCUAAUACAUGCCGACAGAGUCCCGACCGGAGACGGGAGGGACGCUUUUAUUAGAUCAAAACCAAAUAUCCCCCGGGGGCCUCGCUCCCCCGGCGGGAAACGGUUUAAGGUGACUCUGAAUAACUUUGUGCUGAUCGCACGGCCCUCGCGCCGGCGACGCGUCUUUCAAAUGUCUGCCUUAUCAACUUUCGAUGGUAGGCUCUGCGCCUACCAUGGUUGUAACGGGUGACGGGGAAUCAGGGUUCGAUUCCGGAGAGGGAGCCUGAGAAACGGCUACCACAUCCAAGGAAGGCAGCAGGCGCGCAAAUUACCCACUCCCGGCUCGGGGAGGUAGUGACGAAAGAUAACGAUGCAGGACUCUUAUGAGGCCCUGUAAUCGGAAUGACUACAUUUUAAAUCUCUUAAGGAGUAUCAAUUGGAGGGCAAGUCUGGUGCCAGCAGCCGCGGUAAUUCCAGCUCCAAUAGCGUAUAUUAAAGUUGUUGCGGUUAAAAAGCUCGUAGUUGGAUCUGUGCCCUGCACCGCCGGUGCCCGCUCUGCGGUGCGACUGGCAGGUCUGUGGGGCGUCCUGCCGGUGGGAGGUCUUGCCGGCGGCGGUCCUCCGUCCCCAUGUCUCGCGAGUCUGGGCAGACCGUCACGCGUGUCCAGUCGGCCGGCUCUGUCGGGGGGGCCUCGUUCCCACCCACAGAGUCCCGGUACGUGCGGCGCGGGCACUCCCCUCGCAGCUGGGGCGAGCCGUCGAUGCGCGCGCUCCCGGUUAUCCGAUCCUGCCGAAGGUGCUCUUUACCGAGUGUCGAGGCGGGCCGGCAUUUUUACUUUGAACAAAUUAGAGUGCUUAAAGCAGGCUGGUGAAGCCUGAAUGCUGUGUGCAUGGAAUAAUGGAAUAGGACCUCGGUUCUAUUUUCUUUUGGUUUUCUGAACCAGAGGUAAUGAUAAACGGAGACAGGCGGGGGCAUUCGUAUUGCGACGUUAGAGGUGAAAUUCUUGGAUCGUCGCAAGACGAACAGAAGCGAAAGCAUUUGCCAAGGAUGUUCUCGUUGAUCAAGAACGAAAGUCAGAGGUUCGAAGGCGAUCAGAUACCGCCCUAAUUCUGACCGUAAACGCUGCCAUCUGGUUAUUCGCCCACGUUAAAACCUUAAUGACUGGGCGAGCAACCCUCGGGAAACCAAAGAUUUUGGGUUCCGGGGGAAGUAUGGUUGCAAAGCUGAAACUUAAAGGAAUUGACGGAAGGGCACCACCAGGAGUGGAGCCUGCGGCUUAAUUUGACUCAACACGGGAAACCUCACCAGGCCCGGACACUGGAAGGAUUGACAGAUUGAUAGCUCUUUCUUGAUUCAGUGGGUGGUGGUGCAUGGCCGUUCUUAGUUGGUGGAGCGAUUUGUCUGGUUAAUUCCGAUAACGAACGAGACUCUAGCCUGCUAACUAGUCGAUGAAUUCAAUCCGGCAUCCUCUGACGGCUGCCGGCGAAAACAACUCUUCUUAGAGGGACAGGCGGCUCCUAGCCGCACGAGAUUGAGCAAUAACAGGUCUGUGAUGCCCUUAGAUGUUCUGGGCCGCACGCGCGCUACAAUGAAGGUAUCAACGUGUGUCCCUUGGCCGAGAGGCCCGGGUAACCCGCUGAACCACCUUCGUGCUUGGGACUGGGGCUUGAAAUUGUUCCCCAUGAACGAGGAAUUCCCAGUAAAGGCGUGUCACUAGCACGCCUUGAUUACGUCCCUGCCCUUUGUACACACCGCCCGUCGCUACUACCGAUUGAAUGAAUUAGUGAGGGUCUUCGGACCCAGCGCGCGGUUCUCGUCCCUCGGGACCCCCGUC
RNAcentral lists this ribosomal RNA (1966 nucleotides) under Phaulothrips inquilinus. RNAcentral describes it as "SSU rRNA". It matches the Rfam family "Eukaryotic small subunit ribosomal RNA". Lineage: Eukaryota; Metazoa; Arthropoda; Insecta; Thysanoptera; Phlaeothripidae. The record is from RNAcentral.